GAAUAUGCUGAUAUGAAGAGUGUGUUCACUUCACAUAAAUUCAAAUGAGAACAUCUCUUAAUGUUCCAAUAUUUAGAGAUUGCUAAUCACAGAUUAGAGAUGUUCAUGAGAUUAGGAGGCUUCACAUUUAGAAUAAUCUAUGCCAUUUUACCCUAAGAUAAGGAGUGUCUUUAUGCAAAUGUCCUCCUCUGUUACAGAUUUAAGCAACAAAGACCAAGAGCUUUUACUUCUUCUGCUCCAACACACACCAUGAUCUCUACAUCCCUACUGCUGCUGCUGCUGGCAGCCGUACACUGUGUUCACAUUGUUGAGCUGAUCCAGACCGGAUCCACAGUAUUAACUCCUGGUCAGUCACUGACUCUGACCUGUAAAGUGUCUGGAUAUUCAGUAACUGACAGCAGCUACUGUACGAACUGGAUACGACAACCUGCAGGAAAAGCUCUGGCAUGGAUCGGAAGUAUAUAUGGUAGCGGUAACACUUACUUCAGUGAGAAUCUGAAAAGCAGGUUUCAGAUUUCCAGAGACACGUCCAGCAGCACAGUGACAUUAACAGGACAGAACAUGCAGACUGAAGACACAGCUGUGUAUUACUGCGCUCAUGAACCACAGUGA
Molecule: non-coding RNA, 612 nt
Organism: Tachysurus fulvidraco (yellow catfish)
Lineage: Eukaryota; Metazoa; Chordata; Actinopteri; Siluriformes; Bagridae
Source: the annotation of a RefSeq genome assembly